AUACAGAGGGUGCGAGCGUUAAUCGGAAUUACUGGGCGUAAAGCGUGCGUAGGCGGCUGAUUAAGUCAGAUGUGAAAUCCCAGGGCUCAACCUUGGAACUGCAUCUGAUACUGGUCAGCUAGAGUUUAGGAGAGGGAAGUAGAAUUUCAGGUGUAGCGGUGAAAUGCAUAGAUAUCUGAAGGAAUACCAGUGGCGAAGGCGGCUUCCUGGCCUAAAACUGACGCUGAGGUGCGAAAGCGUGGGUAGCAAACGGGAUUAGAAACCCCAGUAGUCC
Molecule: ribosomal RNA, 274 nt
Filed under: uncultured bacterium
Lineage: Bacteria
Description: partial 16S ribosomal RNA
Rfam family: Bacterial small subunit ribosomal RNA
Source: RNAcentral